AGUAGGAGGACCCAUGAUGCGCAGCAUCAUCUUGCAUGGGGCCGACGACUUGCCGCCGAAGCGUCAGCUGAGGGGGCGUUACCGCAA
The submitters of this non-coding RNA (87 nucleotides) gave its source as unclassified sequences. The record is from Rfam.